AACGCUGGCGGCAUGCCUUACACAUGCAAGUCGAACGGCAGCGCGGGGCAACCUGGCGGCGAGUGGCGAACGGGUGAGUAAUAUAUCGGAACGUGCCCUGGAGUGGGGGAUAACGCAGCGAAAGUUGCGCUAAUACCGCAUACGAUCUAAGGAUGAAAGCGGGGGAUUCGCAAGAACCUCGUGCUCCUGGAGCGGCCGAUAUCUGAUUAGCUAGUUGGUGGGGUAAAGGCCUACCAAGGCAUCGAUCAGUAGCUGGUCUGAGAGGACGACCAGCCACACUGGAACUGAGACACGGUCCAGACUCCUACGGGAGGCAGCAGUGGGGAAUUUUGGACAAUGGGCGAAAGCCUGAUCCAGCAAUGCCGCGUGAGUGAAGAAGGCCUUCGGGUUGUAAAGCUCUUUUGUCAGGGAAGAAACGGUAUGGGCUAAUAUCCCGUACUAAUGACGGUACCUGAAGAAUAAGCACCGGCUAACUACGUGCCAGCAGCCGCGGUAAUACGUAGGGUGCAAGCGUUAAUCGGAAUUACUGGGCGUAAAGCGUGCGCAGGCGGUUUUGUAAGUUUGUCGUGAAAGCCCCGGGCUCAACCUGGGAAUUGCGAUGAAGACUGCAAGGCUUGAAUCUGGCAGAGGGGGGUAGAAUUCCACGUGUAGCAGUGAAAUGCGUAGAGAUGUGGAGGAACACCGAUGGCGAAGGCAGCCCCCUGGGUCAAGAUUGACGCUCA
Molecule: ribosomal RNA, 722 nt
Filed under: uncultured soil bacterium
Lineage: Bacteria
Description: bacterial SSU rRNA
Rfam family: Bacterial small subunit ribosomal RNA
Source: RNAcentral